RNAcentral lists this long non-coding RNA (885 nucleotides) under Gallus gallus (chicken). Its description in RNAcentral is "lncRNA (ENSGALG00010000424.1)". The record is from RNAcentral. Lineage: Eukaryota; Metazoa; Chordata; Aves; Galliformes; Phasianidae.
UUAUGGGGCAGGAGCACUUAGGGGGCAGGGGCACUUAUGGGGCAGGAGCACUUAUGGGGCGGGGGCACUUAUGGGGCAGGGACACAUCACUAUGGGGCAGGAGCACUUAUGGGGCGGGGGCACUUAUGGGGCAGGAACUCACCCAGGGAGUGGCGGGAGACAUCGGGGACGUUCUCAUAUUGCUCGGGGGGGGUGGCUGUGGGGCAAUCAGUGGGGUCAGUGGGAUCUAUGGGGUCAGUGGGGUGUAUGGGGUCAAUCAAUGGGGUCAGUGGGGCAAUCAGUGGGGUCAGUGGGAUCUAUGGGUUCAAUCAAUGGGGUCAGUGGGGUGUAUGGGGUCAGUCAAUGGGGUCAGUGGGGCAAUCAGUGGGGUCAGUGGGGUGUAUGGGGUCAAUCAGUGGGGUCAGUGGGAUCUGUGGGGUCAGUGGGGCAAUCAGUGGGGCCUAUGGGGUCAGUGGGGCAAUCAGUGGGGUCAGUGGGAUCUAUGGGGUCAGUCAGUGGGGUCAGUGGGGUGUAUGGGGUUAAUCAGGGGGGUUAGUGGGUUUUAUGGGGUCAGUCAAGGGGGUCCGUGGGAUCUAUGGGGUCAGUCAAUGGGGUGAGUGGGGCAAUCAGUGGGGUGUAUGGGGUCAGUGGGGUCUAUGGGGCCAAUCAAUGGGGUCAGUGGGGCGUAUGGGUGGGAUCUAUGGGGUCAGUGGGAUCUAUGGGGUCAGUCAAUGGGGUCAGUGGGGUGUAUGGGGUCAAUCAGUGGGGUCAGUGGGAUCUAUGGGGUCAGUGGGGCAAUCAGUGGGGUCAGUGGGGUGUAUGGGGUCAGUCAGUGGGGUCAGUGGGGCAAUCAGUGGGGUGUAUGGGGUCAGUGGGGUCUAUGGGGCCAAUCAAUGGGGUCAGUGG